GGAGGCUGUGGCUCAAUGGUAGAGCAACUGCUGGGCAUGCAGAAGGUCCCAGGUUCAAUUCCCCACAGCUCCA
This 73-nucleotide transfer RNA is filed under the name Sphaerodactylus townsendi. RNAcentral describes it as "tRNA-Ala". It matches the Rfam family "tRNA". From Rfam's summary of the family: Transfer RNA (tRNA) molecules are approximately 80 nucleotides in length. Lineage: Eukaryota; Metazoa; Chordata; Lepidosauria; Squamata; Sphaerodactylidae. The record is from RNAcentral.